RNAcentral lists this ribosomal RNA (474 nucleotides) under uncultured bacterium. Its description in RNAcentral is "bacterial SSU rRNA". It matches the Rfam family "Bacterial small subunit ribosomal RNA", at positions 17 to 518 of the family's 1533-position model. The record is from RNAcentral.
UCUUGGUUCAGGAUGAACGCUGGCGGCGUGCCUAACACAUGCAAGUCGAGCGAUUCUCUUCGGAGAAGAGCGGCGGACGGGUGAGUAACGCGUGGGUAACCUGCCUCAUACACAUGGAUAACAUACCGAAAGGUAUGCUAAUACAGGAUAAUAUAAGAGAUUCACAUGGAUUUCUUAUCAAAGCUCCGGCGGUAUGAGAUGGACCCGCGUCUGAUUAGCUAGUUGGUAAGGUAACGGCUUACCAAGGCGACGAUCAGUAGCCGACCUGAGAGGGUGAUCGGCCACAUUGGAACUGAGACACGGUCCAAACUCCUACGGGAGGCAGCAGUGGGGAAUAUUGCACAAUGGGCGAAAGCCUGAUGCAGCAACGCCGCGUGAGUGAUGAAGGCCUUCGGGUCGUAAAACUCUGUCCUCAAGGAAGAUAAUGACGGUACUUGAGGAGGAAGCCCCGGCUAACUACGUGCCAGCCGCUGC